GAUGAACGCUGGCGGCGCGCCUAACACAUGCAAGUCGAACGAUUAAAGCACCUUCGGGUGUGUAUAAAGUGGCGAACGGCUGAGUAACACGUGGGCAACCUGCCCCUCUCAUUGGGAUAGCCACGGGAAACCGUGGAUAAUACCGAAUACUUCGAGUCUCCCGCAUGGAAGACUCGAGAAAGCUCCGGCGGAGAGGGAUGGGCCCGCGGCCUGUUAGCUUGUUGGUGGGGUAACGGCCUACCAAGGCAAUGAUGGGUAGCUGGGUUGAGAGACCGACCAGCCAGAUUGGGACUGAGACACGGCCCAGACUCCUACGGGAGGCAGCAGUGGGGAAUCUUGCACAAUGGGCGAAAGCCUGAUGCAGCGACGCCGCGUGCGGGAUGAAGGCCUUCGGGUUGUAAACCGCUUUCAGCAGGGACGAGGCGAAAGUGACGGUACCUGCAGAAGAAGCCCCGGCUAACUACGUGCCAGCAGCCGCGGUAAUACGUAGGGGGCAAGCGUUAUCCGGAUUCAUUGGGCGUAAAGCGCUCGUAGGCGGUCUGUUAGGUCGGGAGUUAAAUCCGGGGGCUCAACCCCCGUUCGUUCCCGAUACCGGCAGACUUGAGUUUGGUAGGGGAAGGUGGAAUUCCUAGUGUAGCGGUGGAAUGCGCAGAUAUUAGGAAGAACACCAGUGGCGAAGGCGGCCUUCUGGGCCAUAACUGACGCUGAGGAGCGAAAGCUAGGGGAGCAAACAGG
This 735-nucleotide ribosomal RNA is filed under the name uncultured Atopobium sp. RNAcentral describes it as "bacterial SSU rRNA". It matches the Rfam family "Bacterial small subunit ribosomal RNA", at positions 28 to 776 of the family's 1533-position model. The record is from RNAcentral. Lineage: Bacteria; Bacillati; Actinomycetota; Coriobacteriia; Coriobacteriales; Atopobiaceae.